UAGGAGAAAGAAUGGCAAACCACUUCAAUAUCCUUGCCAAGGUACCCCCAAAUGAUGUUGCAGAGAGUCAGAGAGGAUUGAAACAACUGAACAAUAGUAGGAAGGACCCUGGCUCUAUAAGCAGAUGACAUGGACUCAAAUGAUGCCACUGAUGCUUGGAUGCUUAAUGGUGUUCCAGGCUUGUGUUGGGGCUUCUGUGCUAGGAAAGAAGGGAAUUGUCUCUGCUGGUGAUCAUCAAUCUUGAGAGUUCAUUAAAUUCCAUCAGCAUGAGUUAACCACCUAUUAUGCACAAGGACAUUGAGCUGGGAACUAGAGAUUUAAAGACAAAAGAAUUAAGACAUCCCUGUCUUCAAGGAGCUUAUAUGCUUUUGGGGGAAAGAUGGGAAACAUACACACAGUGCUUCAUUUAUAUCAUGCCAUGCUGCUUCUGAAGAGUACAAUGGAAGAUUUCUGAAGAUGAGUCAAGAAAGGACAUAGUUAUAUUGAAGGCUUCCAGUAGCCUGCAGCAAGAAGGUAUGAUUUUAAAUCAUGUGUGUCCCUCAGGUGGUGAUUUUCAAGAAGGGACUGGAAUCUGUGGAUGAUUUUGACUAAUUCUUGGUGUGUCAGCUGAACUGAAAGGGGGAUAAGGUGGAGAUGGGUGAUUCAUUAGGUGAGAAAGCAUUUUAGAAACUUUAU
RNAcentral lists this long non-coding RNA (675 nucleotides) under Monodelphis domestica (gray short-tailed opossum). RNAcentral describes it as "lncRNA (ENSMODG00000046210.1)". Lineage: Eukaryota; Metazoa; Chordata; Mammalia; Didelphimorphia; Didelphidae. The record is from RNAcentral.